GAUGAACGCUGGCGGCGUGCCUAAUACAUGCAAGUCGAACGAACUUCCGUUAAUUGAUUAAGCGGUACUUGUACCAAUUGAGAUUUUAACACGAAGUGAGUGGCGAACGGGUGAGUAACACGUGGGUAACCUGCCCAGAAGUAGGGGAUAACACCUGGAAACAGAUGCUAAUACCGUAUAAUAGAGAAAACCGCAUGGUUUUCUUUUGAAAGAUGGCUCUGCUAUCACUUCUGGAUGGACCCGCGGCGCAUUAGCUAGUUGGUAAGGUAAAGGCUUACCAAGGCAGUGAUGCGUAGCCGACCUGAGAGGGUAAUCGGCCACAUUGGGACUGAGACACGGCCCAGACUCCUACGGGAGGCAGCAGUAGGGAAUCUUCCACAAUGGACGCAAGUCUGAUGGAGCAACGCCGCGUGAGUGAAGAAGGGUUUCGGCUCGUAAAGCUCUGUUGUUAAAGAAGAACGUGGGUGAGAGUAACUGUUCACCCAGUGACGGUAUUUAACCAGAAAGCCACGGCUAACUACGUGCCAGCAGCCGCCGUAAAA
RNAcentral lists this ribosomal RNA (542 nucleotides) under uncultured bacterium. RNAcentral's name for it is "bacterial SSU rRNA". It matches the Rfam family "Bacterial small subunit ribosomal RNA", at positions 28 to 525 of the family's 1533-position model. The record is from RNAcentral.